AGCGAAGUGGCUCAAUGGGUAAUCAGGUCUGCGGGUUAGUGGGGCAGUGGUUUAGUGGAUUAGUGGUACAGUAGUUUGAUGGUGCAGUGGUAUAGUGGUGCAGUGCAAUUAGCAAGCGGAAUCGCAAUAUGAGUUAGGCUCCUAGUAUAUCGGCAAGAAACUAAGUCUGUGAAAGCGCUUCCAGCACCGUGUGCAAAGAUUUCAACUUAUUUUCUUGAAUUGGAUUUUUUCCUCCUCUUCAAACGCUUCAUACUAACUUCCUAAUUGACAAGAGACAGGGUCAGAGCGGAAGCUACUUUCAGCGUAUUAAUCAUCCCGAACUUUUGUAAGUGGCUGUUUAUCCGCAAAGCGGAAUUAGGCCAAUCAACCUGCAACAACAACAACAGAUCGGCAAAAAACGAGCAUAAUGAAAGCUGUUCAUUUAUCUACUUCAGCUGUUCUAUUUCAAUUUUUACUAUUGUCCACCAAGUCCUACCAUAGAGGAAAAUCUGUGAUUUAAAGGUACCAAUAUAGGUGAAUCACGGUGGUGUCCAUUAAUUUGAAUGAUGAAGGUACUCGCCUUAUU
This is a long non-coding RNA of Bemisia tabaci, 565 nucleotides long. RefSeq lists it as uncharacterized. The record is from RefSeq and is a predicted model, not a curated record. NCBI's taxonomy places the organism in Eukaryota, Metazoa, Arthropoda, Insecta, Hemiptera, Aleyrodidae.